Molecule: long non-coding RNA, 944 nt
Filed under: Marmota monax (woodchuck)
Lineage: Eukaryota; Metazoa; Chordata; Mammalia; Rodentia; Sciuridae
Source: RNAcentral
UUUUUUUUUGGUGGGGGGGGGGCAGCCAAGAGUCUGGUGUGCCUGUAGUUCCUGAGUGCAGAGCUUUGGGCACCUCUAAAGAUGGUGCUAUGGUAACUCUUGUAUUGGAGAGUUUUAAACAGAAGGGUGAUAUGAUCUAAAUUGUGCCAAAGUUACUCUGGCUUCUGUGCUGAGUUGGAUGAAGUGGACAAGUUAGAACAUCACAGUUACCAAAGGGAGACCCCAUGGUUUGUGGCAGGGUAAAAUUGAUGUUGGGUGGUGAGGAGUGGUCAGAUUGUAGUUAGCAUAUUAUUUUGAAAGUAGAAUUGAAAUAGUCUGCUGACAUAUUGUAUGUGGAAGGUGAAAAAAAAAACCCUUAGGAUUACUUUAAUUUUUUAGUGCAUUUCUUGGAAAAACAGAAUGUCCAUUUUCUGUGAUGGUCCAUGGUAUGGAAGGAAUAGUUUUCUAGAUGGGGAGGGAUAGAAAACCUGGAAUUCAGUUGUGGACAUAUUAAAUCUGAGGUACCAAUUAGAAAUCCAAGUGGGGAAUAUGAAAUAUAUUAUUUUAGGAUCAGAAAAAAAGGGAAUUCCUUUCCUGCCCAUUGUUAAGGUUCAUGACCAACAAUCCUGUAAAACAAAAAAAGACAGGAUAAGAGGCUGGAGUUAUAGCUCAGUGGUAGAGCGCUUGCCUAGCAUGUGUGAGGCACUGGAUUGGAUUCUCAGCACCACAUAUAAAUAAAUAAAAAUAAAGUUCUAUCAACAACUAAAAAAAUUUAAAGACAGGUUAAUAAGAGAAAAGCAUAAUAAAUUUAUUUGACCAUAGUUUCACAUGGCAUGGGAGUCUUUAGAAUGAAGACCAAAGACCUGGGGUAAAGCAUCCAUUUCUAUGGUUAGGUUUGAUGAAGCAUGAAUGUCAGUAUAGAUAUGUGACUGGACAAAAACGGGUAUGACAUAAUAAGAAUCAAC